This 281-nucleotide ribosomal RNA is filed under the name uncultured prokaryote. RNAcentral's name for it is "partial 16S ribosomal RNA". It matches the Rfam family "Bacterial small subunit ribosomal RNA", at positions 524 to 803 of the family's 1533-position model. The record is from RNAcentral.
UACGUAGGGGGCUAGCGUUAUCCGGAAUUACUGGGCGUAAAGGGUGCGUAGGUGGUUUUUUAAGUCAGAGGUGAAAGGCUACGACUCAACCGUAGUAAGCCUUUGAAACUGGGAAACUUGAGUGCAGGAGAGGAGAGUGGAAUUCCUAGUGUAGCGGUGAAAUGCGUAGAUAUUAGGAGGAACACCAGUAGCGAAGGCGGCUCUCUGGACUGUAACUGACGCUGAGGCACGAAAGCGUGGGGAGCAAACAGGAUUAGAUACCCGCGUAGUCCCUGAGCGGG